Gossypium arboreum is the source of this 106-nucleotide non-coding RNA. The record is from Rfam. NCBI's taxonomy places the organism in Eukaryota, Viridiplantae, Streptophyta, Magnoliopsida, Malvales, Malvaceae.
AAUUCAUGGUGUGGGAAUCUCUAAAUUAGCAUUUUAAAAUGCUCCUAUGCUUCGUCAAAACUUUCCCCUUCCAAUUGUUUAAAUGUUGCAAUCUCUCUCCUCAGCU